RNAcentral lists this small RNA (166 nucleotides) under uncultured Mediterraneibacter sp. RNAcentral's name for it is "Clostridiales-1 RNA". It matches the Rfam family "Clostridiales-1 RNA". Lineage: Bacteria; Bacillati; Bacillota; Clostridia; Lachnospirales; Lachnospiraceae. The record is from RNAcentral.
GAUGCCAGGGGCAAAAGGCCUAAACCCACAUGAGCUUGCUCAUAAGUGGGUGCAGGGCCUUGGGUCCCGCCCCAAUAUGAGCAUAAAAGUGGGAUGUAUGUCCCACGAUAUGCGAAUAUUGGGUAGGAUUGUGAGAGUGCGUAGCACGAAACAAUCCGCAGGCAUC